This 445-nucleotide ribosomal RNA is filed under the name uncultured bacterium. Its description in RNAcentral is "bacterial SSU rRNA". It matches the Rfam family "Bacterial small subunit ribosomal RNA", at positions 337 to 796 of the family's 1533-position model. The record is from RNAcentral.
UCCUACGGGGGGCAGCAAUUAGGAAUCUUGCGCAAUGGGGGAAACCCUGACGCAGCGACGCCGCGUGAAGGAUGACGGCCUUCGGGUUGUAAACUUCUUUUAAGAGGGAAGAAGUAAGUGACGGUACCUCUUGAAUAAGCCCCGGCUAACUACGUGCCAGCAGCCGCGGUAAUACGUAGGGGGCGAGCGUUGUCCGAAGUUACUGGGCGUAAAGCGCGCGUAGGCGGACUAUUAAGUUGGAUGUGAAAUCUCCGGGCUCAACUCGGAAACCGCAUCCAAAACUGGCAGUCUUGAGGUAUGGAGAGGGAAGUGGAAUUCCUGGUGUAGCGGUGAAAUGCGUAGAUAUCAGGAGGAACACCCGUGGCGAAGGCGGCUUCCUGGCCAUAUCCUGACGCUGAGGUGCGAAAGCUAGGGGAGCGAACGGGAUUAGAUACCCGUGUAGUCC